GCAUGUAGUCUAGGCAACAUUAGUCGAAUCUCACAGUGGUUUAUGGAUUUGUCUCGCUGUAGCCUGCUGUGAAUUAAGCACUAAGCAAACCACUGGCAGUUCAUGCCAUGGCCUACGACGGUGGCAUCAGGUGUAAAAGGUCAAUCUGUAGGCCCUCGGGUAAACUAAGACUUUAAAUAGCUUUUCAUAGUAUGUCAUUUCUCUCACACCUUAGAAUGAUUAAGUUAUUAUUUAGGGAUAACUAUAUUUAAAAGCUCACCAGAAAAACACACUUCUUUGCAUUGUCGCUACCUCCAAGAACUUUAACGUUACCAAUUUCUUAGAAGUUAAAUUAACGUCAUACUUCCAAGUAGGGUCCUUCAAACCCGUGAAUAAGGUUCUUGCGUAUGUCUGCUGUCUCGCAAGACCAAAUUCCUAGUUGGUUGUCUUGUACAUUUAUGGGAAUUAUACAUUCACUUUCCAAAUGAUUUUUCCUUUCCCAGAAAUCCACAUGGUUUCGUUUUGACUGAAGUAGACUAAAUACACUUAAUAGCUCCGGGAGAUUCCCGUCGGAGAGUCUAUUAAACCAAGCAACCAGAGACAGUCGCCGGUUCGUGCCUUUCCGAAGCUGCAAGUUGUUCUGGUGGCUGUGCCUAAAUCUAUACUUAUAGGGGACAAAGGCUGCCUCUGGAGAAGAUGAUGUCCUGAUAGGCUGACAAAGGCUCCCUCUGGAGAAGAUGAGGUCCUGAUCCAAAGCUGUCUGGACUAGACGUGGUCCAUGGUCAACAGACAUCAAACAUCAAACAUCAGAGAAUGUUCAAUAAUAAUAAAGCAACUAACUCAGGCUCUUGAGUUAGUUAGUUUUGUUAGUUAAUUAGUUUAUUCGUAAGUUACUUUAUUAGUCAAUGUGUUUGUUUGUUAGUUAGUUAGUCUAUUAGUUAGUUUAGUUUGUUAGUUACAUGUAAAAGUUCGUUUAUUCGUUUAUUAGGUUUGAUAUCGUUUUAGUUUUGUUAGUUAAUCUAGGGUUAGGGUUACUAACUCUUGGGUUGUAGAUUUGUCUGUUUAUCAGUAACCUUCAGGCAUCCUCAAACAUGAGCUUGUCUGUUUAUCAGUAAGCUUUAGGCAUCCUCAAACAUGAGCUUGCUUUGGGUGACUAGUAUGCAUGGUGACUUUUCAAGUUUGUGUCACCUGAUCUCUGUAAAAUGAUUAACAAUGAACAAUUAAAGUAAGCCAUGAAAAAGCCAUGUAAUUCUGCAGUGAUAUGUACUUCAUAAAGAUAGCCCCAACAGUAGUCUCCCAGGCAUACUGUACAUACUAAAAAACAAAGAAAACAGCUUUUAUUUUAUUGUAUUUGUUAUGUUUUGCUGUUUCUGGUAUGCACUGUAACAAGGGGCACCAGUUUAUUCAUAUUUAUUUCAAGUCUUGCUAGCAACCCUUACACGUCACUUAACACAAUCAGGUUAUGCAGACUGAAAAUAAUAAAAACGGGAAAGAGCAUCUUU
This is a long non-coding RNA of Clupea harengus (Atlantic herring), 1481 nucleotides long. RefSeq lists it as uncharacterized. Lineage: Eukaryota; Metazoa; Chordata; Actinopteri; Clupeiformes; Clupeidae. The transcript has 2 exons. The record is from RefSeq and is a predicted model, not a curated record.